AGCCUUCUGUAUCCAUGCUGAGAUUUCGUCACACACCAGACCAGUAGGGCUGAUGAGAAUACCUAGAUAAGGCC
Non-coding RNA from Schistosoma curassoni, 74 nucleotides. NCBI's taxonomy places the organism in Eukaryota, Metazoa, Platyhelminthes, Trematoda, Strigeidida, Schistosomatidae. The record is from Rfam.